Arabidopsis thaliana (thale cress) is the source of this 306-nucleotide long non-coding RNA. RefSeq annotates it as other RNA. The transcript has a single exon. The record is from RefSeq. Lineage: Eukaryota; Viridiplantae; Streptophyta; Magnoliopsida; Brassicales; Brassicaceae.
GGAGAUGGGAGUUGCGGCUUUGACGUGGUGGAAGAAAGCGACGGAGCAGAGGACAGAGGCAAUGAGAGCAAAGAAUCCAAAUCCGAUCAUUAGAGAGACACCGGCGACGAUAAGAUCCAUCGCCGUUUGAAUGCUCAUUAUGCCCAUCAUCUUCAGAUUCUUUAGUUUUAGAAAUGGUUUGGAUAAUGGAACUAUUAUAAGAGGGUGAAACAGAAUGGCAUAGCAAUUGCCUUUGGAAAUGGUGAAACAGAAUGCAUUGCCACCACGUUACGUGAUAAACUCAAAUUUACGACACCUUGAACUAAU